AUGCCUACAAUGAAAGCUGCCAAGUCUUUCACAAAGAACUGAAUAUUCCUGAAUGCAAGAUCUCCCUGAACAUCCGACCAUGAUCCACAAUGAUCAGGGGCAAGCUUGGGAAAGCAAGGAAAGCACGCGAGUAACAUUUGGGUGAGGAACACCCGCUAGCCAAUCGAGGUAAACUGAGAUAGCUUUCCUAGUUGUUGCAGGAGGCAUGGUGGUGAUAAAACGAAAGACUCUUGCAUUUCUCUUUUUUCAGAAGCUCUACACCACAAUUAUAAAUAAGCAUUCGAGAGUAGGGACAGUGAUCGGACGUGAUGAGAAUGCCUCCAUGAAACCCAAAUAUCUAGGAAGGAUUGAGACAAGUCUAAAAAACUGAAUGGAGGGAAGAUGAUAUGCCAGUAAGUUCUAGAGUAAGAGCACUACAGCAUUAAGUAGUUCAAAGUUUCAUCAGAUUCAUUACACAACGGACAAUUCCUUGAGGUAGCAAUGCCUCUUUUAAUUAGAUUCUCCUUAGUUAAGACUUUAUCAUGAAAAGCAAGCCAGAAGAAUAGCUUUGCCUUCUUUGAAAUUGGAAGGUUCCAGAACCAUUGUCC
This 587-nucleotide long non-coding RNA is filed under the name Elaeis guineensis (African oil palm). RNAcentral describes it as "long non-coding RNA (EGUI_LNC039795)". The record is from RNAcentral. Lineage: Eukaryota; Viridiplantae; Streptophyta; Magnoliopsida; Arecales; Arecaceae.